Long non-coding RNA from Setaria italica (foxtail millet), 2816 nucleotides. RefSeq lists it as uncharacterized. The transcript is spliced from 3 exons. Lineage: Eukaryota; Viridiplantae; Streptophyta; Magnoliopsida; Poales; Poaceae. The record is from RefSeq and is a predicted model, not a curated record.
CGCUCCGAGCACACAAACGCACGCGCCGUCGCCCGUUCCUCAAACGCACAGGGACGAACGACAACCCUAAGCAGUGGCGACCCGGCAGCGGCAUGGCGCCAGCGGCGGGGAGCAGGCUCUGCAUUGGAGCAUGGGCUAAGGCGGUCGCCCUUGGCCCAGGCAGCAGCCGCACCGCGCACGGGUGCGCGCGCAGCCGCCAGGCGGGGGGCGGUCGGCAGCCGACGGGGCGGCGCCGCGGCGGCCGGCCGGCGGGGCGACUGGGCUGUGGGCGCAGUGGUGCCAGACACUAAGAGGCCCAUAGCGCGCGUCUCUCCCCCUCAAAGGCAGCCGUUAUGUUGAGCAAGCAGCCUGGGGGAUCGUCGGGCGGCGGCAGCGUCGACCAGCGAGGGAUCCGACCCGCGGGUGACGAGUUGGCCUGUGGCGGCGCCAUUCGUGCUGCAGUAUUACCCUGAGACUUGCAAACAGAAGGGCAAAAAUACAAGAGUGGAUCUGGGUCUCUGCUGUUCCAUGCGUGGAACUAACCGACGAAUCCCCUUUGUAUGUACAAGCUGCCGUGGAUCUGAGCUAGCUGCCGGAAUCCGCUUGGAUGCUGACGGUGCUUUGUAUGUAUACAAGCAGCAAUGCCGAGGCUAAGCACGGCAGGUUCUUAAUUUUGCAUUCUAAUUGAGUGAUUAGUACAUCCGGGCAGCCAACAACAUCAGGUUCUUAAGUUUUUUUUACCAUUUUGUUGUUUUAUCCUCUAUUUAUUUCACAUGUUGCCACUUUGAGAGGUUUUAUUGGUCAACGAUGCUGCCACUUAAUUUUGUGUUAUAAAACUAAAUUAUUUAGGCUGUAAAAAAAAAUUCUCAUCUGAAAUUUUGAAUACCCAUAGUCCAAAUCCUGCGCCCACCUCUGGAGGGGCACCGUCCGGCCGGCUGCCGCUUCUUCAGGCCCGCUGACAGAUCCGUCGAUGCCAAAAGGACGGUCGCCAUUAGCCGCCGCCGCCCACCGCCCAGGUUGUCAGCCCCGGAAGGGCGCCAAAUCAAGUCAAGGACGCCUCCGAUCCCUCCCUUAUUCCUCUCGCCGGCGGUUGCUUACUCUUGGAUCUUUUUCAGCAAUGCCAAGUUUUUCUUUUGCAUUGUGUCAGACGUUAGAGAUGAUUUAUCUGCCAGUAUCAUUGGCUGUCAAUUAAUUGUCAUAUAUAUUGAGUCAGUAAAUUUGCAGAUUUCAUACUUCACUGCCGCUGAUACCAUUGCUUUUAAAAGUUAUCAUAUAUGCUUAGAAAAAAUCAGUGCAUGGUACUAACUAUUUUCAAAAGUUAAGAUUGCUGCAUGUUUACAUAAGCAUAGCUGUUGUUCUGGCAGUAUUUGAUUCAUCUACGAAUCACUGUCUUUGUGUUUUUAUUCGUUUUUGUUUUGAUGUAUGACCUAAUUUAGUGCAGAUUACAGAUUGGCUUCUUACUCUCAUGUUAUAAUAUAUAUUCUAGAUUUCUAGUCAUAUGUCAUUACACGUUAUUAGUAGGUGUUGCACCCUGAUUUGUUUUUUUGUUCUUGCAACUAGGAAGCCAAUAAAAUGGGGGCAACUAAUCAUGGUUUCUGGUACUCUAUCACAACUUUGUAACCUCCCAAUUCGCCUAUUGUAAUUGUUGCAUGGUAAUGCAUCUAUUUUGCAAUUCAGGAAUGAACUGUGUUAGAAGAACUGCACCUUAGCCAUAAUGGAAUGGAAUGCCAAAGAUGGAAGAUUUUUCUACCUUGCAGAACCUUCGUGUUUUGGAUGUUUCAUCUAGCAAGCUAACCACUAUAGGAAUGUCGAAAACUUAACCAGGUCAAGGCCACGCCUGCUACCUGGUUAUAAAGGCUUAUGUCAAUUAUACAAAUCAUAUAUGCACCUAUAUGUAUAUCCUUGAAAAAGAUGAUAUAGAUACAACUAAAGCUGCCCACAAGUCUUGUGUUUCUAGUUUUAUGUUACAUGUUAAAUACUAUGAUGUGAUCAAUAAUUUAGUUCCAAUUUACUGAUUAUGAUCUUCAAAGUAGUUGCCAUAGAUCUUGUUUACUACCUCAUGUUACCAAUCUUUUUUUUUUUGUUACAGCAUGCUGCAUCUUUGUUUGACAAUUCACUUGUUCUCUAGGGGUGUGAGAUCUGCAUAUACACAAUUACUAGCUAUAUUACUGCUAGCUCUGAGCUACUGUGGUUUAGUAGAACAUCAAAUGUGAAAUCUUUUACAUUCCAAGAUAGGGUCCAAUGGCAGCGAAAGAAACUAUUGAGGUGAAAGGUAGCUUUUGCAAAGUCAUGUUCUACAGACUUAGCAGGUAGCUUACGUUAUUGAGAAUUGGUAUAACAAGUAAGAAAUGAAAAUGGCUAAGGAGACCAACAAAUUUGGGUUUGUCCUUGUGGUCCUAUUGGUCUAAACUACUUCCUAUGAAGUCUGCAUUACCCUGUCAAACUUUUCUCUCAUUAUGAUAAUUUGAGGAAAUAUAAUUUUGUUCUAACUGUCUGGUCCAUUGCUACAAUGACAUGGAUGUGAAAGUAACUGCGACUUGCAUAUAGGUUCCUGUGAUGUACUGAUGUGUGUGCACAUGCUGAAAGUGUCAAUCUACAGUUUGAAAAGCUAUUCGAUGAGGAUCAUAGAAACAUGUCAAUAAACAUAGGCGAAGAGCAAAGAUUGAGAAUUGAAGAGAAGUGUCUGUCUGCUUGCGCAAAGUUUUUUAAACAGAAUUAGAACGCAGAGCGUAAGUUUUAAGGGAAUAUGUAAUAUCUAGAUGUAUGGGGAUGAUUAAUUUUGUUGCUGACUCUAUUGCUCUAAUAUUAAAUGAAUACAUUUCAUGUACUUUUUCAUC